AAGAAAGGGGGACUUAAAGUUGAUGAACAGCACCAAAGACAGCAGUGUGAGAGAAAACUGAAGCUGCAGAGAAGAAAACCAGACUGAUCGGGAACAAGAACAUGUUUUGGUGUGCAGGAGAAUGAAGAGAAAAGAGGACAACAAUGGACCCAGAUAGACGAGAGUCUACAGGUUUAUGAAGAGG
Molecule: long non-coding RNA, 184 nt
Organism: Scomber japonicus (chub mackerel)
Lineage: Eukaryota; Metazoa; Chordata; Actinopteri; Scombriformes; Scombridae
Exons: 3
Source: RefSeq, a predicted model, not a curated record